This 532-nucleotide ribosomal RNA is filed under the name uncultured fungus. Its description in RNAcentral is "eukaryotic LSU rRNA". It matches the Rfam family "Eukaryotic large subunit ribosomal RNA", at positions 24 to 664 of the family's 3401-position model. The record is from RNAcentral. Lineage: Eukaryota; Fungi.
CCCGCUGAACUUAAGCAUAUCAGUAAGCGGAGGAAAAGAAACUAACAAGGAUUCCCCCAGUAACGGCGAGUGAAGCGGGAUCAGUGCAUGACGAAUCUUGCAUUUGCGAGAAAUGUGUCGUGGAGAGAGCGUCAGCGAGGCAGACGGCAGCAGGUCCCCUGGAAAGGGGCGGCAGAGAGGGUGAGACCCCCGUGGCAGCCGUUUCGCCAAGCGUUGGACGAUCUCAACGAGUCGGAUUGUUUGGGCAUGCAAUCCCAAGCAGGUGGUACGCGCCAUCUCAGGCUAAAUAAAGGCAAGAGACCGAUAGGAAACAAGUACCGUGAGGGAAAGAUGAAAAGGACUCUGAAGAGAGAGUCAAAAGUGCGUGAAAUUGCGGCGAGGGAAACGAAGGCGGGUGCGUAUUAAGGGGCAGUUGGAGCGGGAUGAAAAGGAGCAGGACGGUACUUUCCUGAAGGGAGGACUUAUAGCCUGAGGCAUUUCAUCUUGGUGUAACGUCCUGGAGCGGCCGUCUUUGACCCGUCUUGAAACACGG